AUAUACUAAAAUUUAGACUGAAACUGGAAUGAUGCAGAGAAGAUGAGCACAGCCCCUGCACAAGGAUGACACACCAAUUUGUGAAGCAUUCCAUAGUUUU
This 100-nucleotide small nuclear RNA is filed under the name Chaetura pelagica (chimney swift). The record is from RNAcentral. Lineage: Eukaryota; Metazoa; Chordata; Aves; Apodiformes; Apodidae.